GGCCCAAACUCCUACGGGAGGCAGCAGUGGGGAAUAUUGGACAAUGGGCGCAAGCCUGAUCCAGCCAUGCCGCGUGAGUGAUGACGGCCUUAGGGUUGUAAAGCUCUUUCGCUCGGGACGAUAAUGACGGUACCGAGAUAAGAAGCCCCGGCUAACUUCGUGCCAGCAGCCGCGGUAAUACGAAGGGGGCUAGCGUUGUUCGGAAUUACUGGGCGUAAAGCGCGUGUAGGCGGGUCUUUAAGUCAGGGGUGAAAUGCCAAGGCUCAACCUUGGAACUGCCUUUGAUACUGGAGAUCUUGAGUCCGGGAGAGGUGAGUGGAAUUGCGAGUGUAGAGGUGAAAUUCGUAGAUAUUCGCAAGAACACCAGUGGCGAAGGCGGCUCACUGGCCCGGAACUGACGCUGAGACGCGAAAGCGUGGGGAGCAAACAGGAUUAGAUACCCUGGUAGUCCACGCUGUAAACGAUGGAUGCUAGCCGUUGGGGAGCUUGCUCUUCAGUGGCGCAGCUAACGCUUUAAGCAUCCCGCCUGGGGAGUACGGUCGCAAGAUU
RNAcentral lists this ribosomal RNA (549 nucleotides) under uncultured bacterium. RNAcentral's name for it is "bacterial SSU rRNA". It matches the Rfam family "Bacterial small subunit ribosomal RNA", at positions 328 to 895 of the family's 1533-position model. The record is from RNAcentral.